This is a regulatory RNA element of Aeromicrobium marinum DSM 15272, 68 nucleotides long. It matches the Rfam family "Actino-pnp RNA". The record is from Rfam. NCBI's taxonomy places the organism in Bacteria, Bacillati, Actinomycetota, Actinomycetes, Propionibacteriales, Nocardioidaceae.
CUCGGUCCUCGGUAGUGGCCCUCGGGCCCCGCACAGGCGGGCCCCGCAGGCCUCGAUCGAUGACCGGC